This 496-nucleotide long non-coding RNA is filed under the name Rattus norvegicus (Norway rat). RNAcentral describes it as "long non-coding RNA NONRATT021346". Lineage: Eukaryota; Metazoa; Chordata; Mammalia; Rodentia; Muridae. The record is from RNAcentral.
GGCCGCUCCUGGGCCGUCCGGGCGCGAUACAUGUGCUGUGGUGGCGUGCACCUCUCACGGUGUGCCUAGCCGCCGAUGCCCAGGCUGCACGACCACGUCUGGAGCUACCCAAGCGCGGGCGCUGCGAGGCCGUACAGCCUCCCGCGAGGCAUGAUUGCGGCGGCCCUCUGUCCGCAGGGCCCCGGAGCCCCCGAGCCCGAGCCCGCGCCCCAGGGCCAGCGAGAGGGAACCGCAGCCUUCAGCACACGACCCGGCAGCUGGCACCAUGACCUGGUGCAGCGGAGCCUCGUGCUCUUCUCAUUUGGCGUGGUCCUGGCUCUGGUGCUCAACCUGCUGCAGAUCCAGCGGAAUGUCACGCUCUUCCCGGACGAGGUGAUAGCCACCAUCUUCUCCUCCGCCUGGUGGGUGCCCCCGUGCUGUGGCACGGCAGCCGCUGUUGUCGGCUUAUUGUAUCCCUGUAUUGACAGUCACCUGGGAGAACCACACAAGUUCAAGA